RNAcentral lists this ribosomal RNA (396 nucleotides) under uncultured bacterium. Its description in RNAcentral is "bacterial SSU rRNA". It matches the Rfam family "Bacterial small subunit ribosomal RNA", at positions 28 to 419 of the family's 1533-position model. The record is from RNAcentral.
GACGAACGCUGGCGGCGUGGAUUAGGCAUGCAAGUCGCGCGACGGACCUUCGGGUUACGGAGCGGCGAACGGGUGAGUAACACGUGAACAAUCUGUCCCUACAUUCCGGAUAAUUGGCCGAAAGGCCUUGUAAUACGGGCGAGGAUGGUGGUGAGGCAUCUCACUAUCAGGGAAGGUGCAACGCAAGUUGUGCCGUGCAGGGAGGGGUUCGCGGCCUAUCAGUUAGUUGGUGGGGAACGGCCUACCAAGACGACGACGGGUAGCUGGUCUGAGAGGAUGGUCAGCCACAUUGGAACUGAGACACUGUCCAGACUCCUACGGGAGGCUGCAGUCGAGAAUCUUGGGCAAUGCACGAAAGUGUGACCCAGCGACGCCGCGUGGAGGAUGAAGGCCUGG